UUAACAAUUAAACACAAUGUGAUGUCGAUCUGGCUACAAUGAAGAUGAGCUUAAACAUGUUAAAGCUAGUACUACUUUCAAUUAUCAUUGAGACUUUUAUUGUGGCUGUAGCAGCACAAAUAAAUCUUGCGCCACAUGGAGUAGCGGUACAAAAAACAACUUAUCCAAAACGUUACGCAAUCCUUGCAAUAGAAGGUCCUGCGAAUAAUAAAUGGACUGAUGGAUGUUCUGUUACAGCUAAUGGACAAAACUACGCAUGGUGGGGCCUUCAACUUCCAGCACUUGCUCAUAUGACAAACAUUUUGAUAUACUACCGG
Mytilus californianus (California mussel) is the source of this 317-nucleotide long non-coding RNA. RefSeq lists it as uncharacterized. The record is from RefSeq and is a predicted model, not a curated record. The transcript has 3 exons. Lineage: Eukaryota; Metazoa; Mollusca; Bivalvia; Mytilida; Mytilidae.